GAGAAGAAGAACAAAUAAUGAGGAAGAAGAAAAGGAAGAGGAGGCUUCUUCUUCUUCACUCAAUCUAAAUCUCUUUUUAUCUCUUGCUGCUUCCUCUUAACCAAAGCCUACACAAUUUCACAACAGUUAUAACUCUAUCAUCUCCGUGUUUGGUUCUUAAAUACUCGAAGCUCAGACAUCAAACCAUCUCCUGCUGCAUAUUAAAUAUCGCCAUUUGAGAAAGAGAGGGAAUAGCUAUACAGGAGAAUAAACUCAAAUCAGGGGAAAGAAAACAGUUAUGUUGGUGCCAUGAUAGAAGCAUAUGUGGGAGGAUCAACUGCAAAAUGCUCAAAGUCAUCUUCAAUCAUCCUCAAAGUAAAACUAUCGCUUUACAUACUGUGAUAUUCACACUUAUUAUGCCAUUUUUAAUCU
Long non-coding RNA from Hevea brasiliensis (rubber tree), 411 nucleotides. RefSeq lists it as uncharacterized. The transcript is spliced from 3 exons. The record is from RefSeq and is a predicted model, not a curated record. Lineage: Eukaryota; Viridiplantae; Streptophyta; Magnoliopsida; Malpighiales; Euphorbiaceae.